This 440-nucleotide ribosomal RNA is filed under the name uncultured bacterium. Its description in RNAcentral is "partial 16S ribosomal RNA". It matches the Rfam family "Bacterial small subunit ribosomal RNA", at positions 338 to 795 of the family's 1533-position model. The record is from RNAcentral.
UCUACGGGUGGCAGCAGUAGGGAAUAUUGCUCAAUGGGGGAAACCCUGAAGCAGCAACGCCGCGUGGAGGAUGAAGGUUUUCGGAUUGUAAACUCCUGUUGUUAGAGAAGAAAAUGACGGUAUCUAACGAAUAAGCACCGGCUAACUCCGUGCCAGCAGCCGCGGUCAUACGGAGGGGGCAAGCGUGAUUCGGAAUCACUGGGCGUAAAGAGCGCGUAGGCGGGAUGGCAAGUCAGAUGUGAAAUCCUAUGGCUUAACCAUAGAACUGCAUUUGAAACUGUUAUUCUAGAGUAUGGGAGAGGUAGGUGGAAUUCUUGGUGUAGCGGUCAAAUCCGUAGAGAUCAGGAGGAAUACUCAUUGCGAAGGCGGCCUGCUAGAACGUAACUGACGCUGAUGCGCGAAAGCGUGGGGAGCAAACAGGAUUAGAUACCCUUGUAGUC